AGUGAACGCUGGCGGUAGGCCUAACACAUGCAAGUCGAACGGCAGCACAGUAAGAGCUUGCUCUUACGGGUGGCGAGUGGCGGACGGGUGCGGAAUACAUCGGAAUCUAUUUUUUCGUGGGGGAUAACGUAGGGAAAGUUACGCUAAUACCCCAUUCGACCUCCGGGUGACAGCAGGGGAUCUUCGGACCUUGGGCGAUUGAAUGAGCCGAUGUCGGAUCAGCUAGGUGGCGGGGUAAAGGCGCAAGAAGGCGACGAUCCGUAGCUGGUCUGGGUGGAUGGAUGGCCAGACUGGAACUGAGACACGGUCGAGACUCUUACGGGAAGCAGCAGUGGAGAAUAUUGGACAAUGGGGGCAAGCCUGAUCCAGCCAUACCGCGUGGGUGCAGAAGGCCUGCGGGUUGGAGAGCCCUGUUGUUGGGAAAGAAAAGCAGCAGUUUAAUACCCCGCUGUUCUGACGGUACCCAAAGAAUAAGCACCGGCUAACUUCGUG
This 492-nucleotide ribosomal RNA is filed under the name uncultured bacterium. RNAcentral's name for it is "partial 16S ribosomal RNA". It matches the Rfam family "Bacterial small subunit ribosomal RNA", at positions 29 to 507 of the family's 1533-position model. The record is from RNAcentral.